Pongo abelii (Sumatran orangutan) is the source of this 45-nucleotide non-coding RNA. The record is from Rfam. NCBI's taxonomy places the organism in Eukaryota, Metazoa, Chordata, Mammalia, Primates, Hominidae.
CCAAAGGCUCUUUUCAGAGCCACCUACGAUUUUGUGGAAGAACUG